RNAcentral lists this long non-coding RNA (234 nucleotides) under Homo sapiens (human). RNAcentral's name for it is "non-protein coding lnc-NEIL3-3:4". Lineage: Eukaryota; Metazoa; Chordata; Mammalia; Primates; Hominidae. The record is from RNAcentral.
GGUUCUUGGACCUGGCUUAAGAAAGAAUUCAGGAAGAAUGUGCCCUCUGAGCAGACAAAACACAAGAGCUACCCCUUCUUCGGAGCCGAUGCUGCUUCUCUUAGGGUGAGUAACUUGCCUAGAGAGCAUUAUCUGGAUGCCUGUCCCAACUCCACCCCUGGCUAGAUAGCAGCCUGCACAUUCUCAUGCUUUCUAUAGUUUCUAUUUUUUCAGAGAGUUGAUCUUCUUAUGGGC